AUGCGGGAGCGGGAGCCGUACCUGCACCACGAGUACCUCGGCAGGUUCCAGGACCCCUUCGGGCGGGCCAUGGUGCGGCCCGGCGAGAAGUUCUCCGAGACGCUGAUGCGGCGGGCCGAGGAGACCGUCAUCGUGGAGAAGAUCCGCGGGGAGCAGAUCAGGAGGGGUGUUGACCCCAGCGAGUGGGUCGGCGGUCCCGUUGAGCGGCCGAUGAUGGGGCAGGAGGAGGAGGAGGAGGAAGAGGAAGAAGAGGAAGAGGAAGAAGAGGAGGAAGAGAACAUCGGCAUGGAGGAGAACACCGAGGCUGAGGUUUGCUUGCUGCCAAUUAGCGGUCUGGCUUGA
This 342-nucleotide ribosomal RNA is filed under the name Triticum aestivum (bread wheat). Its description in RNAcentral is "partial small subunit ribosomal RNA". Lineage: Eukaryota; Viridiplantae; Streptophyta; Magnoliopsida; Poales; Poaceae. The record is from RNAcentral.